RNAcentral lists this ribosomal RNA (246 nucleotides) under uncultured Barnesiella sp. RNAcentral describes it as "partial 16S ribosomal RNA". It matches the Rfam family "Bacterial small subunit ribosomal RNA", at positions 796 to 1041 of the family's 1533-position model. The record is from RNAcentral. Lineage: Bacteria; Pseudomonadati; Bacteroidota; Bacteroidia; Bacteroidales; Barnesiellaceae.
CACGCAGUAAACGAUGAAUGCUAAUUGUCCGGAGGGAUUGACCUCUGGGUGAUACAGCGAAAGCGUUAAGCAUUCCACCUGGGGAGUACGCCGGCAACGGUGAAACUCAAAGGAAUUGACGGGGGCCCGCACAAGCGGAGGAACAUGUGGUUUAAUUCGAUGAUACGCGAGGAACCUUACCCGGGCUCAAACGCAGGAGGAAUACAUCUGAAAGGGUGUAGCUCUACGGAGUCUUCUGCGAGGUGC